This 807-nucleotide ribosomal RNA is filed under the name uncultured bacterium. Its description in RNAcentral is "bacterial SSU rRNA". It matches the Rfam family "Bacterial small subunit ribosomal RNA", at positions 61 to 876 of the family's 1533-position model. The record is from RNAcentral.
GUCGAGGGGUAUAGUAGCAAUACUAGAGACCGGCGCACGGGUGCGUAACGCGUAUGCAAUCUACCUUUUGCAGAGGGAUAGCCCAGAGAAAUUUGGAUUAAUACCUCAUAGUAUAACGACUCGGCAUCGAGAUGUUAUUAAAGUCACAACGGCAAAAGAUGAGCAUGCGUCCCAUUAGUUAGUUGGUAAGGUAACGGCUUACCAAGACUACGAUGGGUAGGGGUCCUGAGAGGGAGAUCCCCCACACUGGUACUGAGACACGGACCAGACUCCUACGGGAGGCAGCAGUGAGGAAUAUUGGACAAUGGGCGCAAGCCUGAUCCAGCCAUGCCGCGUGCAGGAUGACGGUCCUAUGGAUUGUAAACUGCUUUUGCACAGGAAGAAACAACGCUACGUGUAGCGUCUUGACGGUACUGUGAGAAUAAGGAUCGGCUAACUCCGUGCCAGCAGCCGCGGUAAUACGGAGGAUCCAAGCGUUAUCCGGAAUCAUUGGGUUUAAAGGGUCCGUAGGCGGUCUUAUAAGUCAGUGGUGAAAUCUCCCCGCUCAACGGGGAAACGGCCAUUGAUACUGUAGGACUUGAAUUAUUAGGAAGUAACUAGAAUAUGUAGUGUAGCGGUGAAAUGCUUAGAGAUUACAUGGAAUACCAAUUGCGAAGGCAGGUUACUACUAAUGGAUUGACGCUGAUGGACGAAAGCGUGGGUAGCGAACAGGAUUAGAUACCCUGGUAGUCCACGCCGUAAACGAUGGAUACUAGCUGUUGGGCGCAAGUUCAGUGGCUAAGCGAAAGUGAUAAGUAUCCCACCUGG